This is a long non-coding RNA of Cydia splendana, 1129 nucleotides long. RefSeq lists it as uncharacterized. NCBI's taxonomy places the organism in Eukaryota, Metazoa, Arthropoda, Insecta, Lepidoptera, Tortricidae. The record is from RefSeq and is a predicted model, not a curated record. The transcript is spliced from 3 exons.
GUUGGUGAGCGUGGUACAUAUUCGCGAUGACCAGUGCCCGCUGCCUAGCGGCAUCAUCGCGCAAUAUCUCAAGCAAGCCAACGGGCAUCUCUCCUGUCUCAAGGUAAACAAUAUGACAUGCGUCACUUCAGGUAGCGUUGGUGAGUGUGGUACACAUUCGCGAUGACCAGUGCCCGCUGCCUAGCGGCAUCAUCGCGCAAUAUCUCAAGCAAGCCAACGGGCAUCUCUCCUGUCUCAAGCAACUGUACGUGACGGGCGAGCAGUGCGAUCCGGCCGAGCGGUACGCGGGCGCAGAAUCUGCGUUGUGCUGCGUGUGCGCCUCGGCGCCGCUGUCGCGCGCGCUGCUGCCCUGCCGGCACGCCUGUCUCUGCGCACACUGCUUGCCAAAGCUAGACAAGUGUCCGAUCUGCCGCAGCGCCAUCACGUCCUAUUUCUGCAUCCGAAAUGACGAAGAACCGCUCUCCGAGCUCAAGCAGCAACGGUUCCCUUUCAACAGGCGGCUCUUCAACCUGUUCCACUACCACUAGUGGAACUAGUCCCAUCACUGCUAACAUCACAUCCUACUUCUGUAUUCGAAACGAUGAAGAACCGCUCUCCGAGCUCAAGCAGCAACGCUUCCCGUUCAACAGGCGGCUCUUCAACCUGUUCCACUACCACUAGAGGGACUAGUUCCAUCUAGUUCCAUAACUGGUGACAUCACAUCCUACUUCUGUAUCCGAAACGAUGAAGAACCGCUCUCCGAGCUCAAGCAGCAACGCUUCCCGUUCAACAGGCGGCUCUUCAACCUGUUCCACUACCACUAGUGGGACUAGUUCCAUCUAGUUCCCUAACUGGUGACAUCACAUCCUACUUCUGUAUCCGAAACGAUGAAGAACCGCUCUCCGAGCUCAAGGAGCAACGCUUCCCGUUCAACAGGCGGCUCUUCAACCUGUUCCACUACCACUAGUGGGACUAGUUCCAUCUAGUUCCAUAACUGGUGACAUCACAUCCUACUUCUGUAUCCGAAACGAUGAAGAACCGCUCUCCGAGCUCAAGCAGCAACGCUUCCCGUUCAACCUGUUCCACUACCACUAGAGGGACUAGUUCCAUAACUGGUGACAUCACAUCCUACUUCUGUAUCCGAAACUAC